UUGAACUGAAGAGUUUGAUCCUGGCUCAGAUUGAACGCUGGCGGCAUGCCUUACACAUGCAAGUCGAACGGCAGCACGGGAGCAAUCCUGGUGGCGAGUGGCGAACG
Molecule: ribosomal RNA, 107 nt
Filed under: Paraburkholderia elongata
Lineage: Bacteria; Pseudomonadati; Pseudomonadota; Betaproteobacteria; Burkholderiales; Burkholderiaceae
Description: partial 16S ribosomal RNA
Rfam family: Bacterial small subunit ribosomal RNA
Source: RNAcentral